GCCUAUUGGCAAGGGGUGUAAGGCUUUUUGUUUGCUGGCGGCAAUCUGUAUCAACGCUGAUAAUCAUCUGUUUUUGAUGAUUUGUAAUCAUCAGGUAAUGGUUCGAUUCCGUUCGGGGGCACCA
RNAcentral lists this transfer RNA (124 nucleotides) under Dechloromonas sp. TW-R-39-2. RNAcentral's name for it is "tRNA-Ser". Lineage: Bacteria; Pseudomonadati; Pseudomonadota; Betaproteobacteria; Rhodocyclales; Azonexaceae. The record is from RNAcentral.